AUCCGAGAAGGAUAUCCGAGGAUUAAUCCUGAGAAUAAUAGCUAAGAUGGUAUAACCCCAUAAUAGAAAUGACAAGGAAUAACAAAUAACUUCUUAUCUCACUACCAAAAGAAUCUUAUCAUCAUCAAGGACUCCCCAGUUGAUGUCUUUGAGACACUCCAUGACUAAAAAGUCAAUUAACUAGCUGCGUCACUCUUUUCUAGAGUCCAUCAAUGCCACCCACAUAAUUUACUAUGUAGAAAGAAAAUAAUAAAGUGC
RNAcentral lists this long non-coding RNA (258 nucleotides) under Elaeis guineensis (African oil palm). RNAcentral describes it as "long non-coding RNA (EGUI_LNC049123)". Lineage: Eukaryota; Viridiplantae; Streptophyta; Magnoliopsida; Arecales; Arecaceae. The record is from RNAcentral.